GAACGCGUUGGCCCAAUUGAUUGAUGGUGCUUGCACCUGAUUGCCUUUGGUCGCCAACGAGUGGCGGACGGGUGAGUAACACGUACCUAACCUGCCCAGAAGCGGGGGACAACAUUUGGAAACAGAUGCUAAUACCGCAUAACAACGUUGUUCGCAUGAACAACGCUUAAAAGAUGGCUUCUCGCUAUCACUUCUGGAUGGACCUGCGGUGCAUUAGCUUGUUGGUGGGGUAAUGGCCUACCAAGGCGAUGAUGCAUAGCCGAGUUGAGAGACUGAUCGGCCACAAUGGGACUGAGACACGGCCCAUACUCCUACGGGAGGCAGCAGUAGGGAAUCUUCCACAAUGGGCGCAAGCCUGAUGGAGCAACACCGCGUGAGUGAAGAAGGGUUUCGGCUCGUAAAGCUCUGUUGUUAAAGAAGAACACGUAUGAGAGUAACUGUUCAUACGUUGACGGUAUUUAACCAGAAAGUCACGGCUAACUACGUGCCAGCAGCCGCGGUAAUACGUAGGUGGCAAGCGUUAUCCGGAUUUAUUGGGCGUAAAGAGAGUGCAGGCGGUUUUCUAAGUCUGAUGUGAAAGCCUUCGGCUUAACCGGAGAAGUGCAUCGGAAACUGGAUAACUUGAGUGCAGAAGAGGGUAGUGGAACUCCAUGUGUAGCGGUGGAAUGCGUAGAUAUAUGGAAGAACACCAGUGGCGAAGGCGGCUACCUGGUCUGCAACUGACGCUGAGACUCGAAAGCAUGGGUAGCGAACAGGAUUAGAUACCCUGGUAGUCCAUGCCGUAAACGAUGAGUGCUAGGU
This 801-nucleotide ribosomal RNA is filed under the name uncultured bacterium. RNAcentral describes it as "bacterial SSU rRNA". It matches the Rfam family "Bacterial small subunit ribosomal RNA", at positions 31 to 821 of the family's 1533-position model. The record is from RNAcentral.